CGCCCAGACUCCUACGGGAGGCAGCAGUGGGGGAUAUUGCACAAUGGGGGAAACCCUGAUGCAGCGACGCCGCGUGAGCGAAGAAGUCAUUCGUUCCGUAAAGCUCUAUCAGCAGGGAAGAAAAUGACGGUACCUGACUAAGAAGCCCCGGCUAACUACGUGCCAGCAGCCGCGGUAAUACGUAGGGGGCAAGCGUUAUCCGGAAUUACUGGGUGUAAAGGGAGCGCAGACGGCAGUGCAAGUCUGGAGUGAAAGCCCGUGGCUUAACUACGGGACUGCUCUGGAAACUGUGCAGCUAGAGUGCAGGAGAGGCAGGCGGAAUUCCUAGUGUAGCGGUGAAAUGCGUAGAUAUUAGGAGGAACACCGGUGGCGAAGGCGACUUUCUGGACUGUACCUGACGCUGAGGCGCGAAAGCGUGGGUAGCGAACGGGAUUAGAUACCCCUGUAAUU
This 450-nucleotide ribosomal RNA is filed under the name uncultured bacterium. RNAcentral's name for it is "partial 16S ribosomal RNA". It matches the Rfam family "Bacterial small subunit ribosomal RNA", at positions 328 to 795 of the family's 1533-position model. The record is from RNAcentral.